CCAAGUUUAAUGUCAACGAUGUUUCCGCGUGAAGAGCUGCUAUUGCAAAUAUCUGUAUUAUUAGAUCUUUACUGCAUGUGUCACGCUACACCCUACCCAAGACGUUAAGAAUUGCUUACGUAGACUUUUAAGGAAGGCGCUCCCCUCGUCCUCAAUUGCUUAAAGAUGUGUCGUAAACUAGGAGUUUCCGAAGGGUAAGUUUGGCUGUGACAUCCUGGAGACCGGAGAAUCUGACCCGAAGGAAACUCCGCAUCGUUAUCAAACUUCACGUACUG
Molecule: unclassified non-coding RNA, 275 nt
Filed under: Bombus terrestris (buff-tailed bumblebee)
Lineage: Eukaryota; Metazoa; Arthropoda; Insecta; Hymenoptera; Apidae
Description: misc RNA ENSBTSG00005024548.1
Source: RNAcentral